Achroia grisella is the source of this 226-nucleotide long non-coding RNA. RefSeq lists it as uncharacterized. The record is from RefSeq and is a predicted model, not a curated record. NCBI's taxonomy places the organism in Eukaryota, Metazoa, Arthropoda, Insecta, Lepidoptera, Pyralidae. The transcript is spliced from 3 exons.
UAUAAAAUUAACUUUAUGUAUUACCAUUUUGACGUGCAAUGUGUUUAAAGACAGUUCGGAGGAGUCGCUUGAAGGGGACCGCUGCGAUGCCGGUAAUGGUGAAAUGGGAUUUUGUAUUGAAAUAACCUAUUGCGUAGAAGCUAUAACUGCUGCUAUGAAUGGAAGGCCGUUUAACAUCUGUUCGUAUGACGGUUUAUUUCCUACCGUAUGCUGCUUGGAAUCUGAU